This 551-nucleotide long non-coding RNA is filed under the name Gallus gallus (chicken). The record is from RNAcentral. Lineage: Eukaryota; Metazoa; Chordata; Aves; Galliformes; Phasianidae.
CAGGGGAAUCCUUCCCCAGUGGAGAGCAGAAAAGCUCACAUGGUUUAUCAUCAACAACAACAGCUGUCAGGAGGCUUUUUUUCUUGUUGGUGUAUCUGUCAUGGGCCUGGCACUGUUGGUCUCUGAAGCUUGGCACACCUUUGGGGCAGGGCAAGUUCUCACACACAGUGUGUUCCACACUGGCCCCACGGCAGUUCUUCCCACCUGGCCCCGGGGGGGGAUUGUCGCAUUUCCUCUGUCUGAAUCGCACUCCUGUGCCACACGUCCGGCUGCACAUGCUCCACUGACUCCACACGCUCCAGUCUCCAUCAACGUGUUCAGGGAUGGGAGUUUUACUAACACACUCUCCAGCUCGGCACCACUUGUCUGCGCCACACUCAGUGCCAUCCAGAGGGGGAUCCAACUUUGUUUUACAGGAUGUAUCUCCUUCCACCAAGCACCAGAGCCCAGCACACAUCAAAUGCUCCAUAUUUUUACAGAAUGUAGCAUUGGUCCCAAAGAGGAUCUGGCACUGUUCAUCAGCACUGUAGUGCAUUCCCGGCAGCUUGUGA